GACGAACGCUGGCGGCGUGCCUAAUACAUGCAAGUCGAGCGAGUGAAACUAACUGAUCCCUCCGGGGUGACGUUAGUGGAUCUAGCGGCGGCCGGGUGAGUAACACGUGGGCAACCUGCCUGUAAGACUGGGAUAACUCGCGGAAACGCGAGCUAAUACCGGAUGAUACUUUGAACUGCAUGGUUCGAAGAUGAAAGGCGGCGCAAGCUGUCACUUACAGAUGGGCCCGCGGCGCAUUAGCUAGUUGGUGAGGUAACGGCUCUCCAAGGCGACGAUGCGUAGCCGACCUGAGAGGGUGAUCGGCCACACUGGGACUGAGACACGGCCCAGACUCCUACGGGAGGCAGCAGUAGGGAAUCUUCCGCAAUGGACGAAAGUCUGACGGAGCAACGCCGCGUGAGUGAUGAAGGUUUUCGGAUCGUAAAACUCUGUUGUUAGGGAAGAACAAGUACAAGAGUAACUGCUUGUACCUUGACGGUACCUAACCAGAAAGCCCCGGCUAACUACGUG
Molecule: ribosomal RNA, 510 nt
Filed under: uncultured bacterium
Lineage: Bacteria
Description: partial 16S ribosomal RNA
Rfam family: Bacterial small subunit ribosomal RNA
Source: RNAcentral